GGGAUUGCCUCAGUAACGGCGAGUGAAGCGGCAACAGCUCAAAUUUGAAAUCUGGCCCCCUCGGGGUCCGAGUUGUAAUUUGCAGAGGGUGCUUUGGCGUUGGCCGUGGUCUAAGUUCCUUGGAACAGGACGUCACAGAGGGUGAGAAUCCCGUACGUGGCCGCCGGUCUUCGCCGUGUAAAGCCCCUUCGACGAGUCGAGUUGUUUGGGAAUGCAGCUCUAAAUGGGAGAUAAAUUUCUUCUAAAGCUAAAUAUUGGCCAGAGACCGAUAGCGCACAAGUAGAGUGAUCGAAAGAUGAAAAGCACUUUGGAAAGAGAGUCAAAAAGCACGUGAAAUUGUUGAAAGGGAAGCGCUUGCAGCCAGACGUGCCCGCAGUUGCUCACCUGGGCUCUCGCCCGGGGCACUCUUCUGCGGGCAGGCCAGCAUCAGUUCGGGCGGUUGGAUAAAGGCCUCUAUCACGUACCACCCUUCGGGGUGUCCUUAUAGGGGAGGCGCAACACGGCCAGCUCGAACUGAGGACCGCGCAUCAGCUAGGAUGCUGGCGUAAUGGCUGUAAGCGGCCCGUCUUGAAACACGGACCAAGGAGUCUAACAUCUAUGCGAGUGUUUGGGUGUCAAGCCCGGGCGCGCAAUGAAAGUGAACGGAGGUGGGAACCCCUUACGGGGUGCACCAUCGACCGAUCCUGAAGUUUACGGAAGGAUUUGAGUAAGAGCAUAGCUGUUGGGACCCGAAAGAUGGUGAACUAUGCCUGAAUAGGGUGAAGCCAGGGGAAACCCUGGUGGAGGCUCGCAGCGGUUCUGACGUGCAAAUCGAUCGUCAAAUUUGGGCAUAGGGCGAAAGAC
RNAcentral lists this ribosomal RNA (843 nucleotides) under Neoroussoella bambusae. RNAcentral's name for it is "eukaryotic LSU rRNA". It matches the Rfam family "Eukaryotic large subunit ribosomal RNA", at positions 71 to 931 of the family's 3401-position model. Lineage: Eukaryota; Fungi; Ascomycota; Dothideomycetes; Pleosporales; Thyridariaceae. The record is from RNAcentral.